This 337-nucleotide unclassified non-coding RNA is filed under the name soil metagenome. RNAcentral describes it as "partial contains 5.8S ribosomal RNA, internal transcribed spacer 2, and large subunit ribosomal RNA". The stretch from base 1 to 120 matches the Rfam family "5.8S ribosomal RNA", at positions 35 to 154 of the family's 154-position model. The record is from RNAcentral.
GAUGAAGAACGCAGCGAAAUGCGAUAAGUAAUGUGAAUUGCAGAAUUCAGUGAAUCAUCGAAUCUUUGAACGCACAUUGCGCCCGCCAGUAUUCUGGCGGGCAUGCCUGUUCGAGCGUCAUUUCAACCAUCAAGCUCUGCUUGUGUUGGGGUCCUGCGGCUGCCCGCAGGCCCUGAAACCCAGUGGCGGGCUCGCUAGUCACACCGAGCGCAGUAGCACAUCUCGCUCAGGGCGUGCGGCGGGUUCUUGCCGUAAAACAACCCCCCCUUUUCACCAAGGUUGACCUCGGAUCAGGUAGGAAUACCCGCUGAACUUAAGCAUAUCAAUAAGCGGAGGA